UGUCGGGGCUCGGUUCCCGCCGGCCUCCUGCAACCGCAAGCUCGUCGGCGCGAGUUUCUUCUCCAAGGGGUACCAGGCCACCUCGGGGCGCAUGAACGAGACCGCCGAGGUUGUGUAGUGGACUAGCUCGGCAACCACGGUGACAGGUAGAGACAGCUGGACGGGUCCAUGGACAUGCUGGUUGCUGGCGCGGCACAGCAGCUCGCCGGCUGGCUUCUUCUCCAACCUCACGGUGGACAACGCAGGAGUAGCCGCAGCGGAGGCGGUGGGUGGCAGCGGCGGCUGCUGCGACGGCGGAGGUGUGCACCAGCAGCAAGCGAGAUGGAAGCGGCGGCGGCAGGCGCAGCGAAAUGCAGGCGCGUGGGUCAGAUCGAACAGCCAGCUGCUGAUUUAUUUGUUCGUGCAUCUGAAUGUGCUCUAUCCAAAUCUGUUGUCGUCUCCUGCAAUUUGUUUGCUGAUGCAUGUUUUGGCCACAUAAGUAUUGUGAACAGUCACAAAAUUAUUGUCUUUUAUCAUUAUUUCUUGUCAGAUUCAAAACUCCAAAACCUAGAUAUUGUACGCCAUAUUUCAACUUGUGUUUUGUUAUUGUCAGAUAGUUUUUGUUCAUUC
Molecule: long non-coding RNA, 609 nt
Organism: Panicum virgatum (switchgrass)
Lineage: Eukaryota; Viridiplantae; Streptophyta; Magnoliopsida; Poales; Poaceae
Exons: 3
Source: RefSeq, a predicted model, not a curated record